AACGAACGCUGGCGGCAUGCCUAACACAUGCAAGUCGAACGGCACCUUCGUGUCUAGUUGCGCACGGGUGCGUCACGCGGGGGAACCUGCCCUUAGGCUCCGAAUACUACUUUUUAGGGGGUGCUAAUACCGGAAAAUUUAUUCUGACAAAAGAUUUAACGUCUUUGGAUGGGCCGGCGUUGCUUUAGCUAGUUGGUAGGGUAAAAGCCUAUCACGGCGACGAUCGAUAGCGGGUCAGAGAGAAAGAGCAGCCACACUGGGAGUGAGACACGGCGCAGAAUCCUACGGGAGGCAGCAGAGGGGAAUACUGGACAAUGGGGGAAAGGAUGAUCCAGCAAUGCCGCGUGAGUGAUGAAGGCCUGAGGGUUGUAAAGCUCUUUUACCCGGGAUGAUAAUGACAGUACCGGGAGAAUAAGCACCGGCUAACUCCGUG
RNAcentral lists this ribosomal RNA (433 nucleotides) under uncultured bacterium. RNAcentral describes it as "partial 16S ribosomal RNA". It matches the Rfam family "Bacterial small subunit ribosomal RNA", at positions 29 to 507 of the family's 1533-position model. The record is from RNAcentral.